CGUAAACAGAGGGAAGCGAGCCUGCGAGGGGGAGCGAAUCCCAAAAAUAAACGUCCCAGUUCGGAUUGUAGUCUGCAACCCGACUACAUGAAGCUGGAAUCGCUAGUAAUCGCGGAUCAGAAUGCCGCGGUGAAUACGUUCCCGGGUCUUGUACACACCGCCCGUCACACCAUGAGAGUUGGCAACACCCGAAGUCAGUAGCCUAACCGAAAGGAGGGCGCUGCCGAAGGUGGGGUCGAUGAUUGGGGUGAAGUCGUAACAAGGUAAC
RNAcentral lists this ribosomal RNA (268 nucleotides) under uncultured bacterium. Its description in RNAcentral is "partial 16S ribosomal RNA". It matches the Rfam family "Bacterial small subunit ribosomal RNA", at positions 1234 to 1500 of the family's 1533-position model. The record is from RNAcentral.